CCUACGGGUGGCUGCAGUGGGGAAUAUUGGACAAUGGGCGAAAGCCUGAUCCAGCCAUGCCGCGUGUGUGAAGAAGGCCUUCGGGUUGUAAAGCACUUUCAGUGGGGAAGAAAGCCUUGGGGCUAAUGCCCUCGAGGAAGGACAUCACCCACAGAAGAAGCACCGGCUAACUCCGUGCCAGCAGCCGCGGUAAUACGGAGGGUGCGAGCGUUAAUCGGAAUUACUGGGCGUAAAGCGCGCGUAGGCGGUCUGAUAAGCCGGUUGUGAAAGCCCCGGGCUCAACCUGGGAACGGCAUCCGGAACUGUCAGGCUAGAGUGCAGGAGAGGAAGGUAGAAUUCCCGGUGUAGCGGUGAAAUGCGUAGAGAUCGGGAGGAAUACCAGUGGCGAAGGCGGCCUUCUGGACUGACACUGACGCUGAGGUGCGAAAGCGUGGGUAGCAAACAGGAUUAGAUACCCUGGUAGUC
RNAcentral lists this ribosomal RNA (465 nucleotides) under Vreelandella stevensii. Its description in RNAcentral is "partial 16S ribosomal RNA". It matches the Rfam family "Bacterial small subunit ribosomal RNA", at positions 338 to 795 of the family's 1533-position model. The record is from RNAcentral. Lineage: Bacteria; Pseudomonadati; Pseudomonadota; Gammaproteobacteria; Oceanospirillales; Halomonadaceae.